AAAACUGCGAAGUAAAACACAACUAAAAUGUCGCUUCCUAAUUUGGAACUUUUGAAGAAGAUGCGGGUAAAGAAAAAAGAAAACAUAGCUCCCGGGCUUUCUGUAUAUGCCGCUUGUCUUUAAGAUAUAUUUUUGUUCGUUUUCUCUUUGGUAUAAAUAAUACACCAACAAAUACCUGGUCCUUUUUAACCUGCCGCCAACUACAGUUACCGGAUAAAUCCUGAAAGAAAAACAAACACAAAAAUAAAUAUUAAAGACAACCAGCUGCGCCAUUAUUUCUACUAUUAUUAAUAUGACUUAAUAAGAGAAAGUAAACCUUAAUAAUAUUCAAAAAAUAACAGGCUUGAAGGCGAUCUUUUCAUUUGAUUAUACGCAAGACAAAUAGAAUUGCCAGACAAGGAAACAUAAGUUAAAAAGCCAUGUCCGGAAGCUGCUACAGACCGGAACAUAUGAAAAAGAAACACCAUAACGACCUACCUAUUCCGCAGAAUUUACCCACACUAAAGAAAACCAUAAUUUUCUUCUGAGAAUCAUCGAGAGCACAAGAG
Daphnia carinata is the source of this 548-nucleotide long non-coding RNA. RefSeq lists it as uncharacterized. The transcript is spliced from 2 exons. Lineage: Eukaryota; Metazoa; Arthropoda; Branchiopoda; Diplostraca; Daphniidae. The record is from RefSeq and is a predicted model, not a curated record.